Molecule: ribosomal RNA, 332 nt
Filed under: Glaesserella parasuis
Lineage: Bacteria; Pseudomonadati; Pseudomonadota; Gammaproteobacteria; Pasteurellales; Pasteurellaceae
Description: partial 23S ribosomal RNA
Rfam family: Bacterial large subunit ribosomal RNA
Source: RNAcentral
UGUGCAUGGAUAAUAAUCGGGUAUGAAGCCCGGUGCCGAAGCCGUGGGAUGUCUUUUAUGACAUCGGUAGGGGAGCAUUCAUGCGGCCUUGAAGCCCAAGGGACGACCUUGGGUGGAGCUUCAUGAAAAGCAAAUGUAGGUAUAAGUAACGAUAAAGAGUGUGAGAUGCACUCUCGCCGAAAGACUAAGGUUUCCGGGGCAACGUUAAUCGGCCCCGGGUCAGUCGGGACCUAAGGCUCAUCCUAAUGGAGAGGCCGAUGGCAGAAACGGUUAAUAUUCCGUUACUAUCCUUUGGGGCGAUGUGGAGACGGAGGAGUGACACUUCCGCGGGC